UACGUAGGGUGCGAGCGUUAAUCGGAAUUACUGGGCGUAAAGCGUGCGCAGGCGGUUUUGUAAGACAGGUGUGAAAUCCCCGGGCUUAACCUGGGAACUGCAUUUGUGACUGCAUCGCUGGAGUGCGGCAGAGAGGGAUGGAAUUCCGCGUGUAGCAGUGAAAUGCGUAGAUAUGCGGAGGAACACCGAUGGCGAAGGCAAUCCCCUGGGCCUGCACUGACGCUCAUGCACGAAAGCGUGGGGAGCAAACAGG
This 253-nucleotide ribosomal RNA is filed under the name uncultured bacterium. Its description in RNAcentral is "partial 16S ribosomal RNA". It matches the Rfam family "Bacterial small subunit ribosomal RNA", at positions 524 to 776 of the family's 1533-position model. The record is from RNAcentral.